CAUAAUAUUACAAUGAUCACGCCACGCCGCCGCCAACUUUAAAUCGGUUGGUGGCAGUGUAUAUAAAGCCGUCGAAAUUUAAAAACCGGAAUAACACAUAUUUUUGUGCAGAUCUAUAAAUCUAUUCUUUGUUUUCUCUUUAAUACUCAAAAACCAACAAAAAACCAAAAAUGGGCGCAGAAAAAGUAUCAAUGAACAUCGUCGUCGUCGGACAAGUCCAGUCUGCCAAGGCCACCAAGACCGUCACCAAGGCCACACCAGCCACCAGCCAAUUGAUGAACUGUUAAUUCAUGUAGCCUGUACAGUGUACAUUGCAAAACUCAAAAAAGCCAUAGCCCAAACAAUACAAUAAUUUGUAAUUCGUAUCCGCAAUGACUCCGCAAAAUAAAUCAAUCAUUUCCGUAUAACAUAA
This is a long non-coding RNA of Myzus persicae (green peach aphid), 412 nucleotides long. RefSeq lists it as uncharacterized. NCBI's taxonomy places the organism in Eukaryota, Metazoa, Arthropoda, Insecta, Hemiptera, Aphididae. The transcript has 3 exons. The record is from RefSeq and is a predicted model, not a curated record.